RNAcentral lists this ribosomal RNA (417 nucleotides) under uncultured archaeon. Its description in RNAcentral is "bacterial SSU rRNA". It matches the Rfam family "Archaeal small subunit ribosomal RNA", at positions 132 to 531 of the family's 1478-position model. The record is from RNAcentral.
CCGGGAAACUGGGGCUAAUACCAGAUAGGCGAGGACGCCUGGAAUGGUUCUUCACCCAAAGGGCUUUGGAAACAUGCUUUUCAAAGUCGCCUGGGGAUGGGGCCGCGUCCGAUCAGGUUGUUGGUGAGGUAAUGGCUCACCAAGCCUAUAACCGGUACGGGCCGUGAGAGCGGUAGCCCGGAGAUGGGCACUGAUACAAGGGCCCAUGCCCUACGGGGCGCAGCAGUCGCGAAAACUCCGCAAUGCACGAAAGUGUGACGGGGCUACCCCGAGUGCCGUCCGCUGAGGAUGGCUUUUCCUCGGUGUAACUAGCCGGGGGAAUAAGGAGAGGGCAAGACUGGUGUCAGCCGCCGCGGUAAUACCAGCUCUCCGAGUUGUAGGGAUGAUUAUUGGGCUUAAAGCGUCCGUAGCUGGCUU